GGAGACUCAAAAUAUUUAAACUUGAAUAUGCUUCAAGGAGAGAGAGGCGUGCUUCAAGGAGAGAAAGGCAAGGCCAGUGCAUCGAAUGUUGGAAUGUUAGAAAAGAGAAACUAUGAUUAUAUUCCCUAAUUGGUGGGAACUCGGCAGCGGAAUAGAAACGGGAUCGUUCAAGGAGGAUCGAAAUAGGCUUUAGAUACCAUGUUGAAGUUGUGGGAUUUUAGAGAAAAGGAGGAGAGAAAAUAAUAAGGGUUUGAAUAUUAUUGAUAAUAG
Molecule: long non-coding RNA, 270 nt
Filed under: Cicer arietinum (chickpea)
Lineage: Eukaryota; Viridiplantae; Streptophyta; Magnoliopsida; Fabales; Fabaceae
Description: long non-coding RNA (CARI_LNC002913)
Source: RNAcentral